AUUGAACGCUGGCGGCAUGCCUUACACAUGCAAGUCGAACGGCAGCACGGGAGCUUGCUCCUGGUGGCGAGUGGCGAACGGGUGAGUAAUAUAUCGGAACGUACCCUAGAGUGGGGGAUAACGUAGCGAAAGUUACGCUAAUACCGCAUACGAGCUAUGGAUGAAAGUGGGGGAUCGCAAGACCUCAUGCUCAUGGAGUGGCCGAUAUCUGAUUAGCUAGUUGGUGGGGUAAAAGCCUACCAAGGCGACGAUCAGUAGCUGGUCUGAGAGGACGACCAGCCACACUGGAACUGAGACACGGUCCAGACUCCUACGGGAGGCAGCAGUUGGGAAUUUUGGACAAUGGGGGCAACCCUGAUCCAGCAAUGCCGCGUGAGUGAAGAAGGCCUUCGGGUUGUAAAGCUCUUUUGUCAGGGAAGAAACGGUUCAGGCUAAUAUCCUGGGCUAAUGACGGUACCUGAAGAAUAAUCACCGGCUAACUACGUGCCAGCAGCCGCAGUAA
This 502-nucleotide ribosomal RNA is filed under the name uncultured bacterium. Its description in RNAcentral is "partial 16S ribosomal RNA". It matches the Rfam family "Bacterial small subunit ribosomal RNA", at positions 30 to 523 of the family's 1533-position model. The record is from RNAcentral.